Molecule: ribosomal RNA, 511 nt
Filed under: Salmonella enterica
Lineage: Bacteria; Pseudomonadati; Pseudomonadota; Gammaproteobacteria; Enterobacterales; Enterobacteriaceae
Also listed under: 1 other name
Description: partial 23S ribosomal RNA
Rfam family: Bacterial large subunit ribosomal RNA
Source: RNAcentral
CCGAAUGGGGAAACCCAGUGUGAUUCGUCACACUAUCAUUAACUGAAUCCAUAGGUUAAUGAGGCGAACCGGGGGAACUGAAACAUCUAAGUACCCCGAGGAAAAGAAAUCAACCGAGAUUCCCCCAGUAGCGGCGAGCGAACGGGGAGGAGCCCAGAGCCUGAAUCAGCAUGUGUGUUAGUGGAAGCGUCUGGAAAGGCGCGCGAUACAGGGUGACAGCCCCGUACACAAAAGCGCAUGUGUUGUGAGCUCGAUGAGUAGGGCGGGACACGUGGUAUCCUGUCUGAAUAUGGGGGGACCAUCCUCCAAGGCUAAAUACUCCUGACUGACCGAUAGUGAACCAGUACCGUGAGGGAAAGGCGAAAAGAACCCCGGCGAGGGGAGUGAAAAAGAACCUGAAACCGUGUACGUACAAGCAGUGGGAGCACCCUUCGGGGUGUGACUGCGUACCUUUUGUAUAAUGGGUCAGCGACUUAUAUUCUGUAGCAAGGUUAACCGAAUAGGGGAGCCG